AUGCCUUUUCUUUGUUCACCUACACAUUAUAUUUUCUGGUAUUAUUGAAUGAAGAAUGAAGGAAAAGGAGGACCACAAAAUUUGUAUUGUGAUUACAGUCUGAUGAGAAGAGAGACAAAAUGGACUUUGUCAGAACAUUUCCCACAGAUGCAUCCUGAGAGACAAAGAUCUACGCUGUUAUUUUCUCAGAUAUAUUUUGAAAUGUUUGCUACAAUCUCAAGAUGUGCAGCCUGCUAAAAAAACAAAUAAUAAGG
This is a long non-coding RNA of Mastomys coucha (southern multimammate mouse), 254 nucleotides long. RefSeq lists it as uncharacterized. The record is from RefSeq and is a predicted model, not a curated record. NCBI's taxonomy places the organism in Eukaryota, Metazoa, Chordata, Mammalia, Rodentia, Muridae. The transcript is spliced from 2 exons.